This 147-nucleotide non-coding RNA is filed under the name Platyophrya macrostoma. The record is from RNAcentral. Lineage: Eukaryota; Ciliophora; Colpodea; Cyrtolophosidida; Platyophryidae.
UUUUUUUCCGCUUCUCUCUUCACUUCUUUGCCCCGAUCCAAAGAACCACACGCAAAAACUGAUCAGAAUGAACGAAUAAAGAAAUAAAGAAAAUAGGAUGGUGCCUUUUUUGCUCCUCUUCUGAUAUAACAAAAACAAACAAAAUAA